Molecule: ribosomal RNA, 174 nt
Filed under: Synechococcus sp. KORDI-99
Lineage: Bacteria; Bacillati; Cyanobacteriota; Cyanophyceae; Synechococcales; Synechococcaceae
Description: partial 23S ribosomal RNA
Rfam family: Bacterial large subunit ribosomal RNA
Source: RNAcentral
GGUCAAGCUACAAAGGGCUCACGGUGGAUACCUUGGCACACAGAGGCGAUGAAGGACGUGGUUACCUGCGAUAAGUCUCGGGGAGCUGGAAGCACGCUUUGAUCCGGGAAUUUCCGAAUGGGGCAACCCCUAGUACGGCCAGCUGAAUCCAUAGGCUGGUGCGAGCCAACCCAG